Molecule: ribosomal RNA, 495 nt
Filed under: uncultured bacterium
Lineage: Bacteria
Description: partial 16S ribosomal RNA
Rfam family: Bacterial small subunit ribosomal RNA
Source: RNAcentral
GACGAACGCUGGCGGCGUGCCUAAUACAUGCAAGUAGAACGCUGAAGGAGGAGCUUGCUUCUCCGGAUGAGUUGCGAACGGGUGAGUAACGCGUAGGUAACCUGCCUGGUAGCGGGGGAUAACUAUUGGAAACGAUAGCUAAUACCGCAUAACAGUAGAUAUCGCAUGAUAUCUGCUUGAAAGGUGCAAUUGCAUCACUACCAGAUGGACCUGCGUUGUAUUAGCUAGUUGGUGAGGUAACGGCUCACCAAGGCGACGAUACAUAGCCGACCUGAGAGGGUGGUCGGCCACACUGAGACUGAGACACGGCCCAGACUCCUACGGGAGGCGGCAGUAGGGAAUCUUCGGCAAUGGACGGAAGUCUGACCGAGCAACGCCGCGGGAGUGAAGAAGGUUUUCGGAUCGUAAAGCUCUGUUGUAAGAGAAGAACGAGUGUGAGAGUGGAAAGUUCACACUGUGACGGUAUCUUACCAGAAAGGGACGGCUAACUACGUG